CAAAUACUCCCUAUACUUGUCAUCGAAAUGGAUAAAAGGAAAUGUAUCUAGACGUAUUUUAGUUUUAGAUACAUCUCUUUUUAUCCAUUUUGACGACAAGUAUUUUCGGACGGAGGGAGUAUUUA
Non-coding RNA from Triticum aestivum (bread wheat), 125 nucleotides. Lineage: Eukaryota; Viridiplantae; Streptophyta; Magnoliopsida; Poales; Poaceae. The record is from Rfam.